This 1350-nucleotide ribosomal RNA is filed under the name uncultured bacterium. Its description in RNAcentral is "bacterial SSU rRNA". It matches the Rfam family "Bacterial small subunit ribosomal RNA", at positions 28 to 1381 of the family's 1533-position model. The record is from RNAcentral.
GAUGAACGCUAGCGGCAGGCUUAACACAUGCAAGUCGAGGGGUAACGGGGAAGCUUGCUUCCGCCGACGACCGGCGCACGGGUGCGUAACGCGUAUACAAUCUACCUUGUACUGGGGUAUAGCCUUUAGAAAUGAAGAUUAAUCCCCCAUAGUCUCUUAGAGUGGCAUCACUUCUAGAGUAAAGGUUACGGUAUAAGAUGAGUAUGCGUUCUAUUAGUUUGUUGGUGUGGUAACGGCACACCAAGACUACGAUAGAUAGGGGCCCUGAGAGGGGGAUCCCCCACACUGGUACUGAGACACGGACCAGACUCCUACGGGAGGCAGCAGUGAGGAAUAUUGGACAAUGGAGGCAACUCUGAUCCAGCCAUGCCGCGUGCAGGAAGACUGCCCUAUGGGUUGUAAACUGCUUUUAUACAGGAAGAAACACCUCUACGUGUAGAGGCUUGACGGUACUGUAAGAAUAAGGAUCGGCUAACUCCGUGCCAGCAGCCGCGGUAAUACGGAGGAUCCAAGCGUUAUCCGGAAUCAUUGGGUUUAAAGGGUCCGUAGGUGGAUAACUAAGUCAGAGGUGAAAUCUUGCAGCUCAACUGUAAAAUUGCCUUUGAAACUGGUUAUCUUGAGUUAUUAUGAAGUAGUUAGAAUAUGUAGUGUAGCGGUGAAAUGCAUAGAUAUUACAUAGAAUACCAAUUGCGAAGGCAGAUUACUAAUAAUUAACUGACACUGAUGGACGAAAGCGUGGGUAGCGAACAGGAUUAGAUACCCUGGUAGUCCACGCCGUAAACGAUGGUUACUAGCUGUUUGGACUUCGGUCUGAGUGGCUAAGCGAAAGUGAUAAGUAACCCACCUGGGGAGUACGUUCGCAAGAAUGAAACUCAAAGGAAUUGACGGGGGCCCGCACAAGCGGUGGAGCAUGUGGUUUAAUUCGAUGAUACGCGAGGAACCUUACCAGGGCUUAAAUGUAAGUUGCAUUAGCUAGAGAUAGCUAUUUCUUCGGACCACUUACAAGGUGCUGCAUGGUUGUCGUCAGCUCGUGCCGUGAGGUGUCAGGUUAAGUCCUAUAACGAGCGCAACCCCUGUUGUUAGUUGCCAGCGAGUCAUGUCGGGAACUCUAACAAGACUGCCAGUGCAAACUGUGAGGAAGGUGGGGAUGACGUCAAAUCAUCACGGCCCUUACGUCCUGGGCUACACACGUGCUACAAUGGUAGGUACAGAGAGCAGCCACUGCGCGAGCAGGAGCGAAUCUAUAAAACCUAUCACAGUUCGGAUCGGAGUCUGCAACUCGACUCCGUGAAGCUGGAAUCGCUAGUAAUCGGAUAUCAGCCAUGAUCCGGUGAAUACGUUCCCGGGCCU